GAAUGCUUUACACAUGCAAGUCGAACGGCAGCAUAGAGAGCUUGCUCUCUGAUGGCGAGUGGCGAACGGGUGAGUAAUAUAUCGGAACGUGCCUAGUAAUGGGGAAUAACUAGCUGAAAGGUUAGCUAAUGCCGCAUACGACCUACGGGUGAAAGCAGGGGAUCUUCGGACCUUGCGUUAUUAGAGCGGCCGAUAUCUGAUUAGCUUGUUGGUGGGGUAAUGGCCUACCAAGGCGACGAUCAGUAGCUGGUCUGAGAGGACGAUCAGCCACACUGGAACUGAGACACGGUCCAGACUCCUACGGGAGGCAGCAGUGGGGAAUUUUGGACAAUGGGGGCAACCCUGAUCCAGCCAUUCCGCGUGAGUGAAGAAGGCCUUCGGGUUGUAAAGCUCUUUCGCAAGAGAAGAAAACUUGCUAUCUAAUAAAUAGUAAGUAUGACGGUAUCUUGACAAGAAGCACCGGCUAACUACGUGCCAGCAGCCGCGGUAAUACGUAGGGUGCAAGCGUUAAUCGGAAUUACUGGGCGUAAAGCGUGCGCAGGCAGUUUUAUAAGUCAGAUGUGAAAUCCCCGAGCUCAACUUGGGAACUGCGUUUGAAACUGUAAGACUAGAGUGUGUCAGAGGGGGGUAGAAUUCCAAGUGUAGCAGUGAAAUGCGUAGAGAUUUGGAGGAAUACCAAUGGCGAAGGCAGCCCCCUGGGAUAACACUGA
This 710-nucleotide ribosomal RNA is filed under the name beta proteobacterium IMCC14856. Its description in RNAcentral is "bacterial SSU rRNA". It matches the Rfam family "Bacterial small subunit ribosomal RNA", at positions 42 to 743 of the family's 1533-position model. The record is from RNAcentral. Lineage: Bacteria; Pseudomonadati; Pseudomonadota; Betaproteobacteria.